UACGUAGGGUGCAAGCGUUGUCCGGAAUUAUUGGGCGUAAAGAGCUCGUAGGCGGUUCGUCGCGUCGGCUGUGAAAUCCCGAGGCUCAACCUCGGGUCUGCAGUCGAUACGGGCGGACUGGAGUCCGGAAGAGGAGAGUGGAAUUCCUGGUGUAGCGGUGAAAUGCGCGGAUAUCAGGAAGAACACCCGUGGCGAAGGCGGCUCUCUGGGACGGUACUGACGCUGAGACGCGAAAGCGUGGGGAGCGAACAGG
Molecule: ribosomal RNA, 253 nt
Filed under: uncultured bacterium
Lineage: Bacteria
Description: partial 16S ribosomal RNA
Rfam family: Bacterial small subunit ribosomal RNA
Source: RNAcentral